GACGAACGCUGGCGGCGUGCCUAAUACAUGCAAGUAGAACGCACAGUUUAUACCGUAGCUUGCUACACCAUAGACUGUGAGUUGCGAACGGGUGAGUAACGCGUAGGUAACCUGCCUGGUAGCGGGGGAUAACUAUUGGAAACGAUAGCUAAUACCGCAUAAUAUUAAUUAUUGCAUGAUAAUUAAUUGAAAGGUGCAAUUGCACCACUACCAGAUGGACCUGCGUUGUAUUAGCUAGUAGGUGAGGUAACGGCUCACCUAGGCGACGAUACAUAGCCGACCUGAGAGGGUGAUCGGCCACACUGGGACUGAGACACGGCCCAGACUCCUACGGGAGGCAGCAGUAGGGAAUCUUCGGCAAUGGACGAAAGUCUGACCGAGCAACGCCGCGUGAGUGAAGAAGGGUUUCGGAUCGUAAAGCUCUGUUGUAAGAGAAGAACGGGUGUGAGAGUGGAAAGUUCACACUGUGACGGCAUCUUACCAGAAAGGGACGGCUAACUACGUG
This 505-nucleotide ribosomal RNA is filed under the name uncultured bacterium. RNAcentral's name for it is "partial 16S ribosomal RNA". It matches the Rfam family "Bacterial small subunit ribosomal RNA", at positions 28 to 507 of the family's 1533-position model. The record is from RNAcentral.